GGGUGGUACAAAGAGCAAGCGACCUCCGCGAGGUGGAAGCAAAUCUACAAAAAGCCAUCCUAAGUUCGGAUUGGAGUCUGCAACUCGACUCCAUGAAGUCGGAAUCGCUAGUAAUCGCGAAUCAGCAUGUCGCGGUGAAUACGUUCCCGGGCCUU
This 155-nucleotide ribosomal RNA is filed under the name uncultured Syntrophaceae bacterium. RNAcentral describes it as "partial 16S ribosomal RNA". It matches the Rfam family "Bacterial small subunit ribosomal RNA", at positions 1232 to 1382 of the family's 1533-position model. The record is from RNAcentral. Lineage: Bacteria; Pseudomonadati; Thermodesulfobacteriota; Syntrophia; Syntrophales; Syntrophaceae.